Molecule: ribosomal RNA, 440 nt
Filed under: uncultured bacterium
Lineage: Bacteria
Description: partial 16S ribosomal RNA
Rfam family: Bacterial small subunit ribosomal RNA
Source: RNAcentral
CCUACGGGCGGCAGCAGUGGGGGAUAUUGCACAAUGGAGGAAACUCUGAUGCAGCGACGCCGCGUGAGGGAAGACGGUCUUCGGAUUGUAAAGCUCUGUCUUUGGGGAAGAAAAUGACGGUACCCAAAGAGGAGGCUCCAGCUAACUACGUGCCAGCAGCCGCGGUAAUACGUAGGGUGCGAGCGUUAAUCGGAAUUACUGGGCGUAACGCGCUCGUAGGCGGUAUGUCAAGUCCAGGGUGAAAUCCCCGCGCUCAACGUGGGAACUGCCUUUGAAACUGGCGAACUAGAGUGUGUGAGAGGAAAGUGGAAUUCCAGGUGUAGGAGUGAAAUCCGUAGAUAUCUGGAGGAACACCAGUGGCGAAGGCGACUAACUGGCACAUAACUGACGCUGAGGAGCGAAAGCGUGGGUAGCAAACAGGAUUAGAUACCCCUGUAGUC